UAGAGUUUGAUCCUGGCUCACAUUGAACGCUGGCGGCAGGCCUAACACAUGCAAGUCGAGCGGUAACACAGGGAGCUUGCUCCUGGGUGACGAGGGUACCGCGGGUGAGUAAUGUCUGGGAAACUGCCUGAUGGAGGGGGAUUUCUACUGGAAACGGUAGCUAAUACCGCAUAACGUCGCAAGACCAAAGAGGGGGACCUUCGGGCCUCUUGCCAUCAGAUGUGCCCAGAUGGGAUUAGCUAGUAGGUGGGGUAAUGGCUCACCUAGGCGACGAUCCCUAGCUGGUCUGAGAGGAUGACCAGCCACACUGGAACUGAGACACGGUCCAGACUCCUACGGGAGGCAGUAGUGGGGAAUAUUGCACAAUGGGCGCAAGCCUGAUGCAGCCAUGCCGCGUGUAUGAAGAAGGCCUUCGGGUUGUAAAGUACUUUCAGCGAGGAGGAAGGCAUUAAGGUUAAUAACCUUGGUGAUUGACGUUACUCGCAGAAGAAGCACCGGCUAACUCCGUGCCAGCAGCCGCGGUAAUACGGAGGGUGCAAGCGUUAAUCGGAAUUACUGGGCGUAAAGCGCACGCAGGCGGUCUGUCAAGUCGGAUGUGAAAUCCCCGGGCUCAACCUGGGAACUGCAUUCGAAACUGGCAGGCUAGAGUCUUGUAGAGGGGGGUAGAAUUCCAGGUGUAGCGGUGAAAUGCGUAGAGAUCUGGAGGAAUACCGGUGGCGAAGGCGGCCCCCUGGACAAAGACUGACGCUCAGGUGCGAAAGCGUGGGGAGCAAACAGGAUUAGAUACCCCUGGUAGUCCACGCCGUAAACGAUGUCGACUUGGAGGCUGUUCCCUUGAGGAGUGGCUUCCGGAGCUAACGCGUUAAGUCGACCGCCUGGGGGGAGUACGG
RNAcentral lists this ribosomal RNA (890 nucleotides) under uncultured bacterium. Its description in RNAcentral is "bacterial SSU rRNA". It matches the Rfam family "Bacterial small subunit ribosomal RNA", at positions 1 to 885 of the family's 1533-position model. The record is from RNAcentral.